This 276-nucleotide long non-coding RNA is filed under the name Malus domestica (apple). Its description in RNAcentral is "long non-coding RNA (MDOM_LNC002042)". Lineage: Eukaryota; Viridiplantae; Streptophyta; Magnoliopsida; Rosales; Rosaceae. The record is from RNAcentral.
ACUCGUUAUUCACAAGAGUUAAUCUCAAGAUUUUAUAAUAACAAGUAGAGAAGAAUGUCACUAGGUUGUAGUAAUAAGGUUUUUUUAGCCACAAUGGUCCUUAAGAUUAGUAUAACUUUUUACUUUGGUCCCUGAGAUUUAAAAUCAAUAGAAGUGGUCCAUGAGUUUAUUUACCAUCAAUCAUUUUGAUCAUUCCAUACAAAAUUUCCGUUAAAUAAGGAUAAAAUGACAAAAAUGCACUUAAUUUUUGUGAAAUCAUUUUGACUCAUUAUUUAU